CGUCGUGGUGAAGGGGUGCUUCAGGAUUCCUGAGUGAAAUUCCCCGAGCUUACGGGCAGAGAUGCCAUCCCGGAAGGGAAGACCCGUUCGACGAAGCCUGUCCAGCGGCGCAGAAAAGUUGGACAUCGAGCCCUCGAGGCAGGCUCGCAGCGGCAGCUUGCUACAGCACAGUAAUGCAGCCCAACCCUGCAGUAGCAGUGUGUUAACCGAAUGGGGAUUACUCUCGCCAUGAU
This 233-nucleotide RNase MRP RNA is filed under the name Physcomitrium patens. RNAcentral describes it as "SRP RNA RNase_MRP". It matches the Rfam family "RNase MRP". Rfam says of the family: RNase MRP is an enzymatically active ribonucleoprotein with two distinct roles in eukaryotes. In mitochondria it plays a direct role in the initiation of mitochondrial DNA replication. The record is from Rfam by way of RNAcentral. Lineage: Eukaryota; Viridiplantae; Streptophyta; Bryopsida; Funariales; Funariaceae.